UUAUUUAUUAGAAUAUGCAGAAUAUACAUAGUUGUAUGUAUAUGUACAGUUGGCCGGAUUCACAAACAGUUGAACUAUUCUAAAUUUUAUGUUUUUGAAGUUGAACCUCAAAAACCAAUUCAUUUUUUUAGUUGGUCCCAUAAGUUUUAACAUAUUAAUGACUUU
Molecule: small RNA, 165 nt
Filed under: Arabidopsis thaliana (thale cress)
Lineage: Eukaryota; Viridiplantae; Streptophyta; Magnoliopsida; Brassicales; Brassicaceae
Description: ATSL152650
Source: RNAcentral